RNAcentral lists this long non-coding RNA (1222 nucleotides) under Homo sapiens (human). Its description in RNAcentral is "HSALNT0250509". Lineage: Eukaryota; Metazoa; Chordata; Mammalia; Primates; Hominidae. The record is from RNAcentral.
UGAAAUACUGAGGAAAAACAAGAAGACAAAAGAUCUCCCAACUCUAAAAGGGAACACUUUCAAAAGCAAGCUCAGGUCCUGGACUAUCAACUCUGUCAACAAGAGGAGAAUAGAGAUGCACAUUGUUCUUUUGGUUGUGAAAAAUUCGAAGAAGUAGAUGUGGUCCUGGUUGAUGGAUGAACAUUGAGGCCCUCAAGUGCAUAAAGGCACUUCUAGAUAUCUGUUGAGGCCUGGAAGGGGCAAAACAAUUCAGGAAGCAGUUGAAGAUAAAGGGGUUUACCAUGGAAGAGAAGAUCCAGGUGCCUUCAUGGAAAUGCUUGUGGUUGAAAAGAGAUGAAGAUGAGGGUCCCUGGAAAGAGGAAGAACCAGCCAGGAAAAUUAUACCAUUAGCAAGACUGGCAUCAGCAAGUAGUUCGCAGUGUUGGUUGUUCUUGGUUUCGCAGGAUUUUAUAGGAGAUGGACCUUCUCCUAAAAGUCUUAUCUUCUAAGUCUCCUAAGUCUUGGACUUUUCAAGGCCAAAGAUUUAAAGGCCAAGUGGACCAUACGGGAGAUCUAGUUUCCCAUCCAGACAGCCAAGCUCAUGCAUCCCUGGAUUUGGAUGGAUGGUUUCCCAUGGGGCCUUGGACAGAUUGGACCCAGCACUGGCACAGGGUUGACUUGGAGGAAUAAGCUCCUGGAAACCUCAAUUAGCGUUUGGGGUAUGAACAUUAAACAAUACUGAAUCUGGAAACAAUACAUCACACAGCGGGUCCAAGGAAAUAAGCAGAAGGCUGGCAGCAGGCCAGGGCCAGGGGCCAAAUCGCUCCUCAAAGACAAUUCUUCAUGGAGAAAUGACAGCAGGUUUGAGGACAGCAGAAUUUCGCUCUUGUUGCCCAGGGCUGGAGUGCAAUGGUGCAAUCUCGGCUCACCACAACCACUGCCUCCUGGGUUCAAGCGAUUCUCCUGCCUCAGCCUCCUGAGUAGCUGGGAUUACAGGAAGUACAAAAACAUCCUUGCCGUUUGCUGGAAUGAUGUACUGCUGAAGGCAAUGGACACUGGGGUUGUUUGUCCCUAAUCACAAAAUAAUUUGGACCAGUAUUUUUGAAGGAAGACGGAGACACCAGGUUUCAUAUAUCAUGGGGAAUUAAAGGUUGAACUAGACUGAAGCAAAUGGAUGAAAAAAGUAGAAUAUGGUAAAUCCAGAAUAUAAGAUCAAGAAGACAAAGGACAUUAUAUUGUCAGC